Molecule: ribosomal RNA, 608 nt
Filed under: uncultured fungus
Lineage: Eukaryota; Fungi
Description: eukaryotic LSU rRNA
Rfam family: Eukaryotic large subunit ribosomal RNA
Source: RNAcentral
ACCCGCUGAACUUAAGCAUAUCAAUAAGCGGAGGAAAAGAAACCAACAGGGAUUGCCUUAGUAACGGCGAGUGAAGCGGCAAAAGCUCAAAUUUGAAAUCGGCCACCAGGUCGAGUUGUAAUUUGUAGAUUGUAUCUUGAGAGCGGAUUAAAGUCUGUUGGAACACAGCGCCUUAGAGGGUGACAGCCCCGUAAAAUCUAUUCUCAUUGUAAGAUACUUUCGAAGAGUCGAGUUGUUUGGGAAUGCAGCUCUAAGUGGGAGGUAAAUUCCUUCUAAAGCUAAAUAUUGACGAGAGACCGAUAGCGAACAAGUACUGUGAAGGAAAGAUGAAAAGCACUUUGAAAAGAGAGUGAAAAAGUACGUGAAAUUGUUAAAAGGGAAGGGUAUUGAAUCAGACUUGGUGCUGUUGUUCAACUGUGUUCUGGCACAGUGUACUCAGCAGUACUAGGCCAAGGUGGGGUGUUUGGGAGUGAAAAAGAAGUUGGAACGUAACUCUUCGGAGUGUUAUAGCCUACUUUCAUAGCUCCUCAGGCGCCUCAGGACUGCGCUUCGGCAAGGACCUUGGCAUAAUGAUUCUAUACCGCCCGUCUUGAAACACGGACCAAGAG